This 1259-nucleotide long non-coding RNA is filed under the name Ananas comosus (pineapple). RNAcentral's name for it is "long non-coding RNA (ACOM_LNC026509)". Lineage: Eukaryota; Viridiplantae; Streptophyta; Magnoliopsida; Poales; Bromeliaceae. The record is from RNAcentral.
UUACAUAUAGGGCCUGUUUGUUUCAACAUAAGUAGACUUGGGGUGGAAGUGGAGUUGGGGUGAAAAUUAAUUCACUUCCGCUAUUUGUUUCUAACUGUGGAAGUGCAGUUCUACGAGUUCUGUUGUUUGUUUAGUAGGAAGUAGAUGACGUAAAAAGUGUAGCUCUCGACCCCCGGUAUACUUACCUCCGAAGUGAUAUAUCAUUAGUGAAUAAUAAAUUAUAAUAAAUAAAAAUUAAUAUAAUUAUAUAUGUAUAUAAUUAUAUAUAUGUAUAAUUAUAAAAUAAAAUUUUAAAAAAUUAUAUUAUUUGUUUGCAUAUAAAUUAUAAUAAUGCAACAAAUAAAAUUCUAAAGUUAAAAAAUUAUUAACAUUUAACAAAUUCAUUUUUCAUCAUUUUCUAAAUAUACAAAUUAGACAAAAAAAAAUAUAUUAAAACUUACCUAACCAAAUUUAACAAGUUCCUUUGCCUCUUUGCACUUCACCGGAAUUGACUUCGCCCCGUGGGAGGGCAAAGUCAAUUACCCUAUUUUGGGUGAACUCGACUUUCGGCUGUAAUAAAAUUACGGCAAAACAAACAACGGAAGUGAUAGUUACGGCGUAAACAAUUUCCCUCCUCUCCACUUCCCCCUCACUUCCACCCAAACAAACACACCCUAAUGAAAGCGCAGUUGGAAAGUGAGCGCGGAGGCCACCCCUAUUUAAUAUUUAAAUAUAAAUUUAAAUUUUAAAUUUUAAAUUUUAAAUUUUAAAAAUUUUAAAAUUAAUACUAAAUUUUAAAUUUUUAAAAUUUAAAUUAUCAUUUUUAAUUAUAUAAAUUUUAAAUUUGACAUUUUAUAUUUGUAACUUGAGAUUUGAUUUAAAAUUUAAAAUUUAAAAUUUAAAAGUUAUAAUUUAAAAUUUAUAAUUUUAAAUUUUUAAAUUUGAGAUUUAAAAAUAUAGAUUUUAAUUUUGAAUUUUAAAUUAUAAAUUAUUAUUUUUAAUUAUUUAAAUUUUAAAUUUAAAUUCAAAUAUAAUAAUUGGGCAAUAUUAUUAUUUUCUAUUUAUAACUACCCACUAUUCUUUUUAUUCCAUUUUAUCUAUCAAAAUGCUAUAUUUUUUAAUCCCGAAAACAACUCAAUUAUUAUCCAAAUGCAAAAUUAGUGUAUUUUCAAGUUUAAUCCUGAACUUAACUCUAUUUCUGGAAUAACUAGUUCUUACUUAACCCCGAACCAAACGAAGGCCCAGGCAUUUUGUGGUAAAUUACACUAAUAGUUUCCAAU